This 2556-nucleotide long non-coding RNA is filed under the name Macaca fascicularis (crab-eating macaque). RNAcentral's name for it is "lncRNA (ENSMFAG00000058072.1)". The record is from RNAcentral. Lineage: Eukaryota; Metazoa; Chordata; Mammalia; Primates; Cercopithecidae.
UUUUUUUUUUUUUUUUUACCUACCACACGUCCCACAUCUCCCACAGUCCUUUAAUCCCUGACCAGUCCUACAGGGGAUGGAUGCACUGUGACCUUUGUAGCCUCUCCCCUCUCCUCAGGGAUCACAGCUCACUGUAGAUCACAGCCCAAUGUCCCAGGUGACUCACUUACUAGAAUUCGUAAUUCACUUCAUCCUGCCACCAGUGCCCCUGUGAGCUAGACACUCAAAUUGAUUCCAUUUUACAGAUUUGGCGACUGAGGUCCAGAAAGAUUAAGUCGCAGUCUGAGGUCGCAUGGUGGAUGAGCAGCAGACACCCUGGUGGGCAGCCUGGCUCCUGAGCCAUGCGUCACCACCAUCUUAGUGGAAAAUCAGCCACAAGGAGGGAUUCCCCUCCCAGUCUCCUGGCCCUUGCCAAAGGAUCCACACUAGACAUGAGAGGAGGAAGGGAGUCCACACCGACUCUGGCAUCAAACCCUCAUUCCUUAGGAAACUGCGCUAAUGUUGCCCCCUCCCUCCCUGCGACUACCUCAGAUUGUAUCUACACCUUCCCAGCUAGCCCCGGUGUCAUCACGUAUUUAUCUGUUGAUCACUCGGCUCCAGGGACUGCCAUAUCAGCCCAGGAAGGCAGGAUCUUGUCUGUCUGGUUAGGGGCUGUGGUCUGGCACUGGGCACAUAGUCAGUAUUCAAUAAAUUUUGGCUAAAGCCCUUUUGGAUCGAUCGUCUAUUGUCAGUGUGGCUCAGAUGCAGCCCCUGCCACACUGACUGUGUGGCUCUGGCAGGUCACACCCCCUUUCUGAGCCUCCCUUCCAUCAUCUGUAAAGUAGACUUGUCUCUGAGUCCUACACAUGUUAAACACUCAAAGGAUUGCUGUUGCGUGAAUUAGUGAAAUCCGAGCCGGAAGGGCCUUUGGAACCCAGGGUUGCAAACUCAAAGACUCCAAGAGCCAGGCAGGAACCAGAAACCACCGAGGGAGCUGGGUGGGGACCGAGGCAGCUGCUACUCAGCUCUAGUCACCAGCACUGCCAGAUCUUCUGCUUUCUCAAGAAAAGCCAGAAAUCUAGAGAUUUACAAGAAGUUUCCCAGUGUAUAAGUAUUGGCAGCUAAUUUAAAACAUUUAAACACAUCUGUGGAUGUGAUGUGGCUGCAGGCCGUUUCUUUGCGACUCAUGAUUCAUCUAACUGCUCGUGGCACAGAUGAGAUCAAAGCCCAGAGAGGGUGAGCCACGAGCCCCAGGUCACGGAGCACAGGAAGUGAAGAGGAAACAGCAACCUUUCUCCUUCGGCUGCAGCCCUGUUGCCCAAGCUCAGGGCAACGGCUGAGCCCUGAUCACGAGGGAGGCAGUGCCGCCUUCUCCUCUAGGCCUGGCAGUUCCAGGGUGAGAGGAAGGUCACGAUAUCUCUGUUUGGGUGCACUGCAACCUCCGCUUCCUGCCUGGACCAGGCUGUAUCAGGCACUGGGAUGAAGAGAACGUUCCAAGCAAUGGGCUGGCCUAGGAGGUAAGAGCUGGUAGCGGAGAGGGGCUGGGCACACCCCUUCCUUACUUCAGGGACGUGCAAACCCCUUCAGCAGGCCUGGGCAGAGCUGGGGCGGUUCAAGCCCUGCUUCUGGAGAAACAUGCUCUGCCAUUGAGGCUGGGAGCUCUGUGCCCGCAUGGCUCUCAGGACCUUGGAAUGCAUUUGUCCAGCAGCUUCUAUAUACCAGGUCCUCAUCUGACCCAUGCUCCCACAACUUCCAUGGCCACUCCUCCCUCUGUCCCCUCUUGCGCUCUCUACCCAGGCACAAUGGUACCUGAUCUGCUCUGAACACAGCAGCCCUGCUCUUACCUCAGGGCCUUUGCACACGCUGUUCCCUCUGCCUGGUUCACUUCACCCAUUAUGCAGAUGGCUCAUUGUAGAUCUCUACCUGAGUGUCACCUUCUCGGUGAGGCCCUCCCUACCUGUUCACUCUGGUUAAAAUUGCAAACAUCCCCCACACUCCUUAGCCUCCAUCUGGCUUUCUUCUACCCUGCAGCACUUAGAACCGUGGGACACGCGUAUGUUACACGUGGGACACGCGUAUGUUACACGUGGGACACGCAUAUGUUACACGUGUUUAUUCGUGUUUCCCUUUCCUGUUGCUGCUGUAACAAAUUGCCACGAAGUUGGGAGUUGGAAAUAACACGAACGUGUGAGAUUACAGUUCUGGAGGACUGAAGCCCACAGUUGGUCUCAGCAGGUUAAAAUCAAGGUGUGGACAGGACCACGUUCCUUCUACAGGCUCACAGGGAUAAUCUGUUUCUCCAGCUUCUCAAGGCCACCUGCAUUCCUGGGCUCACGGCUCCAUCCUCCAUCUUCAAAGCCAGCAACAGCGAGGCCAUCUUUCUCAUGCUGCAUCCCUCCACCUGCAACGCCCCUACUUCCCUCCUGCACUGAUAAGGCCCCUUGUGAUUACAUUGGAUCACAAUGUCAUCAGCUGGGUAGUCCAGGGUCGUCCCCCCCAGCUCAAGGUCAGCUGCUCAGCAGUCUCCAUUCCCCUUGGCUGUGUAACCUCGCACAUUCACAGGUUUCAGGAUGAGGA